RNAcentral lists this ribosomal RNA (120 nucleotides) under Nannospalax galili (Upper Galilee mountains blind mole rat). Lineage: Eukaryota; Metazoa; Chordata; Mammalia; Rodentia; Spalacidae. The record is from RNAcentral.
GUCCAUGGUUAUACUACCCUGAGUACUCCUGAUCUCAUUUGAUCUUGGAAGCUAAGCAGGAUUUGGCCUCGUUAGUGCUUGGAUGGGAGAGUUAGAGCUAGCUGAGGCAGGAGACGGACC